UAGGGAAUCUUCCACAAUGGACGCAAGUCUGAUGGAGCAACGCCGCGUGAGUGAAGAAGGUUUUCGGAUCGUAAAGCUCUGUUGUUGGUGAAGAAGGAUAGAGGUAGUAACUGGCCUUUAUUUGACGGUAAUCAACCAGAAAGUCACGGCUAACUACGUGCCAGCAGCCGCGGUAAUACGUAGGUGGCAAGCGUUGUCCGGAUUUAUUGGGCGUAAAGCGAGCGCAGGCGGAAGAAUAAGUCUGAUGUGAAAGCCCUCGGCUUAACCGAGGAACUGCAUCGGAAACUGUUUUUCUUGAUUGCAGAAGAGGAGAGUGGAACUCCAUGUGUAGCGGUGGAAUGCGUAGAUAUAUGGAAGGACACCAGUGGCGAAUGCGACUCUCUGGUCUGCAACUGACGCUGAGGCUCGAAAGCAUGGGUAGCGAACAGG
Molecule: ribosomal RNA, 429 nt
Filed under: bacterium
Lineage: Bacteria
Description: partial 16S ribosomal RNA
Rfam family: Bacterial small subunit ribosomal RNA
Source: RNAcentral